ACUGCAAGUCGAGCGGAAGAAGGGAGCUUGCUCCCGGAUGUUAGCGGCGGACGGGUGAGUAACACGUGGGUAACCUGCCUGUAAGACUGGGAUAACUCCGGGAAACCGGAGCUAAUACCGGAUAGUUCCUUGAACCGCAUGGUUCAAGGAUGAAAGACGGUUUCGGCUGUCACUUACAGAUGGACCCGCGGCGCAUUAGCUAGUUGGUGGGGUAAUGGCUCACCAAGGCGACGAUGCGUAGCCGACCUGAGAGGGUGAUCGGCCACACUGGGACUGAGACACGGCCCAGACUCCUACGGGAGGCAGCAGUAGGGAAUCUUCCGCAAUGGACGAAAGUCUGACGGAGCAACGCCGCGUGAGUGAUGAAGGUUUUCGGAUCGUAAAGCUCUGUUGUUAGGGAAGAACAAGUGCGAGAGUAACUGCUCGCACCUUGACGGUACCUAACCAGAAAGCCACGGCUAACUACGUGCCAGCAGCCGCGGUAAUACGUAGGUGGCAAGCGUUGUCCGGAAUUAUUGGGCGUAAAGGGCUCGCAGGCGGUUUCUUAAGUCUGAUGUGAAAGCCCCCGGCUCAACCGGGGAGGGUCAUUGGAAACUGGGAAACUUGAGUGCAGAAGAGGAGAGUGGAAUUCCACGUGUAGCGGUGAAAUGCGUAGAGAUGUGGAGGAACACCAGUGGCGAAGGCGACUCUCUGGUCUGUAACUGACGCUGAGGAGCGAAAGCGUGGGGAGCGAACAGGAUUAGAUACCCUGGUAGUCCACGCCGUAAACGAUGAGUGCUAAGUGUUAGGGGGUUUCCGCCCCUUAGUGCUGCAGCUAACGCAUUAAGCACUCCGCCUGGGGAGUACGGUCGCAAGACUGAAACUCAAAGGAAUUGACGGGGGCCCGCACAAGCGGUGGAGCAUGUGGUUUAAUUCGAAGCAACGCGAAGAACCUUACCAGGUCUUGACAUCCUCUGACAACCCUAGAGAUAGGGCUUUCCCUUCGGGGACAGAGUGACAGGUGGUGCAUGGUUGUCGUCAGCUCGUGUCGUGAGAUGUUGGGUUAAGUCCCGCAACGAGCGCAACCCUUGAUCUUAGUUGCCAGCAUUCAGUUGGGCACUCUAAGGUGACUGCCGGUGACAAACCGGAGGAAGGUGGGGAUGACGUCAAAUCAUCAUGCCCCUUAUGACCUGGGCUACCACCGG
Molecule: ribosomal RNA, 1184 nt
Filed under: Bacillus pumilus
Lineage: Bacteria; Bacillati; Bacillota; Bacilli; Caryophanales; Bacillaceae
Description: bacterial SSU rRNA
Rfam family: Bacterial small subunit ribosomal RNA
Source: RNAcentral